AACCCUGCCGAUUAACAACACAAAAUCGGUCGCGCUGCACAUGCGUCAUUUUUGACCUAGCGCCUUGACGUGACAUCCGAGCAGAGCAGGGCAGUGUACAGGGAAGCAUAAAGUGCCUUAGACAGAAUCAGUGUCACCAACUACACAGGAAAGUAUGAGCAAGAUGGACAAAAGCAGUUCCUCUGGAUGUACACAGGAGGAAAACGUCCUUCACCUGGAAAGACAUGGUCAUGUUCCUUGAGGGAGAGGACUGCUAGCAUUGCAUGUACGGUCAGAGACCCCAAGACUGCUGGUGAUGCCAGGAGUGAUGUUAGGAGAUACGGGGGAAAAACUGGGGGAGAACGGACUGGACAAUGAACAGUGCUGUUGGCAGUGUAUAAAUGGCUGGUGUGUUUCCUUACGAGAGAAUGUCAGAGGAGGCUGGCCCAGGAGAAGGCUUCUGGCAAGGCUGACUUCGAGGCUCGCAGAUGUGUAAGAAGCUGUGGUUUACGGUGAUGGAGGGGAACAAGGUUCUAGAGCAUCCAUCCUGGUGGGCAGAGUUCAUCUCAGACAAGCCUGUGGUGGGUUUUCCUCUGACCCAAGCUGUAUGGUUCUAGAUCGCGGUUCUAGAGUCCCUGGGUCCCUAGAUGACUGUUGAAGCCACGGUACCUACAUUUUGGAAGCUAUAUAAAUGAAGUCGUUGUCACGCCUCCUGGUUCGCGACGAAGCUACAGACACCUUAAUACUUUAUGUGAGAUUAACAAACAUGUUAAAUUAAAAAUAUAUAAAAACAGUUUACUUAAAGUAUACAUUUGAGUUACUAUAUUGAAAAUGAAAUACAGAAAUGUCUAAUGUACAUAAGUAUUCACACCUGAGUCAAUACAAGUUCAUUAUAAUCCACAUAAUAAUUCACAUUUCCUGUUGCUGCAGGAUUAUUUUCCUGCUGUAGCAAACAUGCUCAAAUUAAAUUCCUACAUCUGUAUGGCCCUCAAUUUCAAACCCCCCAAAAAAUAUAAAAUAAAGGAUUUAUUUACGAUGGUAAAAUGGGGGUAAUUGUGGGAAACUGCCUAUGAAGGGGAGUAGCAACACAUCUGCCACGCUGAUCCACAACACUGGAGCUCCCCAGGGGUGCGUGCUUAGUCCCUUCCUGUACUCCCUGUUCACCCAUGACUGCAUGGCCAGGCAUGACUCCAACACCAACAUUAAGUUUGAAGACGACACAACAGUGGUAGGCCUGAUCAACGACGAGACCUGGCCGGGUGGUGCCAGACUAAGGAAAUGAUUGUGGACUACAGGGAAAGGAGGACUGAGCACGCCCCCAUUCUCAUCGACGGGGCUGUAGUGGAGCAGGUUGAGAGCUUCAAGUUCCUUUUUGUCCACAUCAACAACAAACUAGAAUGGUCCAAACACACCAAGAUAGUUGUGAAGAGGGCACGACAAAGCCUAUUCCCCCUCAGGAAACUAAAAAGAUUUGGCAUGGGUCCUGAGAUCCUCAUAAGGUUCUACAGCUGCAACACCGAGAGCAUCCUGACUGGUUGCAUCACUGCCUGGUACGGCAAUUGCUUGGCUUCCGACCGCAAGGCACUUCAGAGGAUAGUGCGUUACGGCCCAGUACAUCACUGGGGCUAAGCUGGCUGCCAUCCAGGACCUCUACACCAGGCGGUGUCAGAGGAAGGCCCUAAACAUUGUCAAAGACCCCAGCCACCCCAGUCAUAGACUGUUCUCUCUACCACCGCAUUGCAAGCGGUACCGGAGUGCCAAGUCUAGGACGAAAAGGCUUCUCAAUGGUUUUUACCCCCAAGUCAUAAGACUCCUGAACAGGUAAUCAAAUGGUUACCCGGACUAUUUGCAUUGUGUUCCUCCCCCAAACCCCCUUUUUACACGGCUGCUACUCUCUAUUUAUCAUAUAUGCACAGUCACUUUAACUAUACAUUCAUUUACAUACUACCUCAAUUGGGCCGACCAACCAGUGCUCCCGCACAUUGGCUAACCGGGCUAUUUGCAUUGUGUCCCACCACCCGCCAACCCCUCUUUUACAUUAUUGCUACUCUCUGUUCAUCAUGUAUGCAUAGUCACUUUAACCAUAUCUACAUGUACAUACUACCGCAAUCAGCCUGACUAACCGGUGUCUGUAUGUAGCCUCGCUACUUUUAUAGCCUUGCUACUGUUAUAGCCUGUCUUUUUACUGUUGUUUUAUUUCUUUACCUACCUAUUGUUCACCUAAUACCUUUUUUCACUAUUGGUUAGAGCCUGUAAGUCAUUAUUUCACUAAGUUCUAUACCUGUUGUAUUCAGCGCACGUGCCAAAUAAACUUUGAUUUGAUUUGAAA
Long non-coding RNA from Oncorhynchus nerka (sockeye salmon), 2308 nucleotides. RefSeq lists it as uncharacterized. NCBI's taxonomy places the organism in Eukaryota, Metazoa, Chordata, Actinopteri, Salmoniformes, Salmonidae. The transcript has 5 exons. The record is from RefSeq and is a predicted model, not a curated record.